AGACCCGAAACCCGGUGAUCUAGCCAUGGGCAGGUUGAAGGUUGGGUAACACUAACUGGAGGACCGAACCGACUAAUGUUGAAAAAUUAGCGGAUGACCUGUGGCUGGGGGUGAAAGGCCAAUCAAACCGGGAGAUAGCUGGUUCUCCCCGAAAGCUAUUUAGGUAGCGCCUCGUGAAUUCAUCUCCGGGGGUAGAGCACUGUUUCGGCUAGGGGGCCAUCCCGGCUUACCAACCCGAUGCAAACUGCGAAUACCGGAGAAUGUUAUCACGGGAGACACACGGCGGGUGCUAACGUCCGUCGUGAAGAGGGAAACAACCCAGACCGCCAGCUAAGGUCCCAAAGUCAUGGUUAAGUGGGAAACGAUGUGGGAAGGCCCAGACAGCCAGGAUGUUGGCUUAGAAGCAGCCAUCAUUUAAAGAAAGCGUAAUAGCUCACUGGUCGAGUCGGCCUGCGCGGAAGAUGUAACGGGGCUAAACCAUGCACCGAAGCUGCGGCAGCGAACGUAUCACCCAAGACAACUUUACGGAGUUGACGAUUGACGGAGCGAAGCGACGUCAAAGCGUUCAUUAAAGUCGAGUUGGCUUAGGGAUACGUUCGUUGGGUAGGGGAGCGUUCUGUAAGCCUGUGAAGGUGUGUCGUGAGGCAUGCUGGAGGUAUCAGAAGUGCGAAUGCUGACAUAAGUAACGAUAAAGCGGGUGAAAAGCCCGCUCGCCGGAAGACCAAGGGUUCCUGUCCAACGUUAAUCGGGGCAGGGUGAGUCGACCCCUAAGGCGAGGCCGAAAGGCGUAGUCGAUGGGAAACGGGUUAAUAUUCCCGUACUUGGUGUUACUGCGAAGGGGGGACGGAGAAGGCUAUGUUGGCCGGGCGACGGUUGUCCCGGUUUAAGCGUGUAGGUGUGUGUUCCAGGUAAAUCCGGUUCACUUUAACACUGAGGCGUGACGACGAGGCACUACGGUGCUGAAGCAACAAAUGCCCUGCUUCCAGGAAAAGCCUCUAAGCAUCAGGUAACAUCAAAUCGUACCCCAAA
Molecule: ribosomal RNA, 1029 nt
Filed under: Salmonella enterica
Lineage: Bacteria; Pseudomonadati; Pseudomonadota; Gammaproteobacteria; Enterobacterales; Enterobacteriaceae
Description: partial 23S ribosomal RNA
Rfam family: Bacterial large subunit ribosomal RNA
Source: RNAcentral